Molecule: ribosomal RNA, 164 nt
Filed under: Goeppertia warszewiczii
Lineage: Eukaryota; Viridiplantae; Streptophyta; Magnoliopsida; Zingiberales; Marantaceae
Description: 5.8S ribosomal RNA
Rfam family: 5.8S ribosomal RNA
About the family: 5.8S ribosomal RNA (5.8S rRNA) is a component of the large subunit of the eukaryotic ribosome.
Source: RNAcentral
CGAAUGACUCUCGGCAACGGAUAUCUCGGCCCUCGCAUCGAUGAAGAACGUAGCAAAAUGCGAUACGUGGUGUGAAUUGCAGAAUCCCGCGAACCAUUGAGUCUUUGAACGCAAGUUGCGCCCGAGGCUUUCCCGCCGAGGGCACGCCUGCCUGGGCGUCACGC